Long non-coding RNA from Hippocampus comes (tiger tail seahorse), 3002 nucleotides. RefSeq lists it as uncharacterized. The transcript has 7 exons. Lineage: Eukaryota; Metazoa; Chordata; Actinopteri; Syngnathiformes; Syngnathidae. The record is from RefSeq and is a predicted model, not a curated record.
UCUGGCCACCCCAUCGUUGCUUGAAGAAAAAAGGAAAAGAAGAAAGCGCGGCCCAAAGUAGGCGAGACGUCACACACCCGUCCGUCUCUGUGUGCGCUUUGGCCCAAUGACAGAUGAAGCGUGUCCUGAAAACAACAUGGCACAGCUUUCCGUGUCUAAACUGGUCAUGGAAAUGCAAAAUGGUGUGGAAAGAGUUGACUCAGGGAAGACUGAAAAUACAAACGGAAAAGCCCAUUAGGUCACUUUUUGAUGGCUGGCCAUUAGCUUUUAAAGACACCCGCGGGCGGCUCAACAGACCCCCGCCAGGUUUUCCCGGCACCGCUCGUAGGCUCCCACCGGUUUGUGUCUCCGGGGAUGCCAUCGCACAAGCUCCAUCGGAGCUCUGACAAAUGCUGAAGUGACAGCAGCCGAAGCCGUCAGGAAGGAACGAAUGCUCAGGGGUGACUCAGAGGACAACCAUCAUCACGUGUCGCCCUGUUUAAGUUGGAUACAACUUGAAAAUAUGAGAAAAUUAAGUUACGUAAAAAGGGUAAGGUUUCAUGCAAAUUCAGAUUUGGGGGGGGGGGUAAAAAUAAUGGAUAGAAAUGGCAGAAAAGAGAAAUUUGCAUGUUAAGCCCAUAGAGCUGCAAAAAUGGGAUGCCACGCAUGCCUGCACAAGAAGUAUCGUGGCAAAAGAAAUAUGGGCAUAGAAAAUUGUAAGAAAAAUAAUAAUGAUAAAUGCAUGUUGCUGUUCUCUUUCCCUUGCUUCACCCCGACCAAGUCCGAUCGAGACAUAUCAACACCUGCCCAUUGCAGUGAGCGGCAUUGCUUUUGGACCCAUCCUUUGUUUGCCCUCCGCCGUUAUUACAUAACACUUACUACAAGUGGAUGCUUUUUCCUCCAUACACUUGCUACAUGUGGCGCUAGAGCAAUGACAUCAUCGGAGGGAGAACAACACUGUUGGCUGCAUCAUCUGUCUGCAUGCGGCCACGUUUAUUGAGAAGUGCCACCACCAUGCAUGCCACGCGACGAGCCUCUCACCUGGACGCACUCUUGGGAUUCUCCACAGCAGGAAACAGACAGGCCCACUGACGUCACCGGGGGGUCCCUUCUCCGCCUCCCAGCCACGGGGUGUCCGCCGGAGCCAGCGGGAGGUUCGUGAUGGCCGCAGCGCCCGCUCUGGGGAAUGUCAUGGCGGUGCACCACCCGAGGCUGAGAGAAGACCCGAGGCCAUCUUAGAGAAAAAGAAAAAGCCUCUUGCAGCCGCUACAUACCAUGACAUGUCUCGGUGUGCCAUGCCUCAUUGUUCUUGGGUGCUGCAAAAGAAAACACAAAUAAGUGAGUUGGAGAACAUUGACAUUAUUCAUGGUCUUUAUGGGGUUGACCAUCACAUCUGCGUUGGUUAUGUACAUCAUUUGAAUUUCAAUUACACCGUUGCAGAGCAUCCCCCCCCCCCCAAUUGGGCAGCAUUGUCUUACCCGCCCAUGUGUUUUCUUUAGUGCUUCUCCUCAAAGGGUGACGGGCGAACCGGAGCCUUCCCCAGCUGACUUUGGACAAGAGGAGCCGAGCUUGGAUCAGUGACGGCGAGUGAAUCUUUCGGUGAACAACUACGCAUUUUGAUUCAGCCGUCAGAGACAAUGCAGUGCGUCUGAAAAGCUCUACCGGACUCGGCCAGACAGGAGGCCAACGUCCGAGACGGGACGGAGAGAACAAGUACAAAUCAGACGGCGCUUCCAAGAUGUAUAGAGAGAGGCAUUCUGUCAUGCUCCAUUGGGAUCCUUCGUCUCGAUCCGGUUGCACAGGCGUCCAAUUGAGUCCGGAUGGAUUUUCGCAAAGCUCUUUUUGAGAGUGCCAGGAACCACGGGAGGAUCAGGACCACCAUCGGCUCGACUGGCGUUGGCCUUCCUUUUAGCCAUACCCUUUCAGAACCAAAUGGCUGCAAAACCCAAUUUGGUUUUAACGUCUGUGCCACGAAGACAUCCACGAAAAGAGCUGUCAGAAGGUAUCAACGCAGUUAUUUAACAAAAGGCCUAAAACUCCUGUCGCGGAUCGCAUUACAAUGUGCAGGUGUAACGCUGAGUGCACAUGGCUGACAUUUCCCUGCACACACAUUCUCGCUGUGACCCUAUUUCAGGUCUCAGUAGGUCAUUUUUCACCAGAUUGGAUUGGUAAAGGCGGGGUGGGGUGGUGAGGGGGGUGUCAGGUGGCAGUAUUCUACUCCCCUGUGUUGUGCUUCUGCUUCCACGCAGCUCGACAAGCGCUCAAGCUUCCUGCCGACUCAGCAUCCCCCGACUACCUCUUUUUCGCUCAUGCCCGACACGUUGCUCAACGCGCAGGAUGUGACGCAAGCGGCUCGAAUGGUUGCAGUGCUGCAAUCGGAAAUUACCACAUGUCCGGUUCUUUUAAUAUUCUGCAUAGAGAGGUUCAACGAAAUAUUUGUGUGAGAAAAAUUCUCGUUUCCCGAAUGCAGAGCGGAAUCUGGCAUUGCUGUAAUUUGGGUGAAACCUGUUCGCACAGGGCAAGUAAAAUGCUCUGUUGAUUCACGAAAACAGAUUUUAAUUUAUUAUUAGAUAUUUUUUUAAUCAAAUGCUCUUCCACGAGAUAGCAAUGAACAUGUGUACCCAAUUUUAGAACCACAUAGAUGUUUGAAUAACUCUCGUUCGUGGCAUGUCGCAAAACUGUCACUCUUGUGAGGACAAACGCUGUACAAGAUGGAUGGAUGGAUCUUUUUUUAAUUUUUUUUUUUAAUAGAGUACGUUUGUAUUUAUUAGACAUAUGUCAGAUUUGACCGCUUACCGAGCCGUAUCUCUAAUUUAUUAAUUUAAGUGAAGCCGGUUUGUGCAGGGAAAGUAAAAAUCCUCAAAUUUCCCAUUUCUUUCUUUUUUUUCAUUUGAUACUGGCAGUACAGACGAUUGAGUCUUUUGAAACUUCACCUGACAGUUUCAUGGCAAGCAACGACCGUCUUGGCUUGAUCGUAAAUUGCCAGAAUAUGAAUUCAUACACAAUAAAAGCAGUGAAAAUGA